CCGUACCUUUGUUGUCACCGCACCGCACACUAUGCACAGUAUUGCAUACGGUAGGCUCUGUAUUUGCAUUGAGUUGUAUUCGUCAGUGACAUCCAAAAUCACUGACCUGUCACGAUUUCGCAAGAUCAACUUCACCACUGGUUUUGAGGAGCUGGGGAAUAUGGCUACUGUGUGUUAGCAUGGAAUCGUAAAAUUGAUUAAAGUGUCUCUUCUAGUGAGAUUAGCGUAGGGCCUAUAGGUGAACGCACAUGACAGUUCAUUGCACUGUUUCCCUCCAUGAUGAUUGUAUAUGCACUGAAUUAAACUGCGGCUUUCCAUUGUCGGUUUUACAAGAGGCAGUCCACGAAGAAUGCCAACCAUAUUGCUCAGGUUCUCGGCCUUAGCACCUGCAGUGAAAGGUUUUGAGCGAUGCGACGAUUUAGCCGUCUACGGGUACUGAUAGCCGUGGUUUUGUUCGCUGUGUGUUUGGUGGAACUGUUGCUUGUUGCCCUUGCGGGAUCAAGGAAUAGCACCAGAGAUCACCUCCGAGACGAGAGUCGAGCGGACACGGGAUCAGCAGGG
This is a long non-coding RNA of Acanthaster planci (crown-of-thorns starfish), 561 nucleotides long. NCBI's taxonomy places the organism in Eukaryota, Metazoa, Echinodermata, Asteroidea, Valvatida, Acanthasteridae. The record is from RefSeq and is a predicted model, not a curated record.